CUGUCAGCUUUUGCGGGGUUCCCAGAACAGCAUGUCCACUCUGGCACAGCCCCAGAUCCUUUCCAGGAGAGCACAGCCUCCAGGCAGGAGGAACUCAGGGUGACUCAGAUUCACAUGUGACAAACAGCCUGUGAAGUAAAACAGACCAGCGUGCUCCAGCACAGCUGUCUUCAGAUCCCAGGGAGAAAGGGGUGGCAUGAGAAGAAGUAAUGGACAGCGUUGAACUCACCCCUCAUGCCGAUCCCAUGUCUCAGGAGAUCCAUCUGCUUCUCCUCAACGUUAUUCUAGGUCUGCCAUGGGCAUCAGUGAGCUCACACAGGGGGUGUGCCAAGUUGGCAACUGUCUUAUCUGUGUGCUGGUUAUUCUUUGAAUCAGUUCUCUUGGAGCCUGUUGCCAUCAUCACCGCUGGGAUUUAGAGAAAUGUCCCUUACUGGCUCCUAUGUGGCAGCAUUUGGGUUCCAGCUGGUGGUGCUAUUUGGAAAGGUCAUGGAGCCUUGAGGAGACUGAAUCUUGGUGGAGUAGUAGUCACAAAGGUGAACCUUGAGGGCGGAUAGCCUGGCCCCACUUCCUGCCUGCUCUCUGAAUGCUGACUGUAGAGCUGUGUGACUAUCUGCCUCAUGUUCCUGCUGCCAUGCCUUCCCUGUUGUGAUGGACUGAAUUCCUUCUUCUACUGUGAGCCAGAAGAAAUUAUUCCUUCCUUUAAGUUGCCGUUGCCACAGCAAUGCAAAAAGUAAAUCACACAACUGCUAUACUUGUCAGAACAUGAGCUGUGGGUGCUGUAGUGUGCAGACAUGUCAGCCUGACUCCCCACUCCCCUGCUUCCUGUGGUCCAACUGUGUAUUUCUUAAAUUUGGGGAUAUUCAUAUCAUGCCUCUCAGGCAUUGACUUUAAGCUUUGAAAUUUGACUUUGACUGUGCCCUUUUCCAGCUUCAAACACUUGACCUAAUAUUUUGGAGGACACUUUCAUAGGUGUCCUGUAAAACGUGGCAUCAAACCCUCAUGGUGUUUGCUGUUUGUUGUUAUGUGAUUAAAGAAGGGAGAAGCCAGGGAUGAUCUGAAGGUAUAGAAAGAAGUAUGAGACACAGUCUUAACUAGAAGGAGUUCAUAGUAUGAUUUGUUAGGCAGAGUAGAAUUCUAGACAGUGGGCAAAGCACAUGGUAUGAAAAGGGUGUUUUGUGAAGACUUUACAGAGGAAUGGGCUUUGAUUUCAACCUUACAAAUGAUUGAUACUUACUCUGGAAUCUGGAGAACAUAAUUCAAAAGCCAAAGUCAGUGUCAUUGGGUAUGGGUAUGUCAAGGGUAUGGGUAGGAUUUUAGUAUUUUUUUCUUUAAUUUCUGAGUGUAAUACAGUCAGACAUUUUAGUGGUGUAACUAUUUGAAGAAUAUCUGAAUCCCAAAAGCUGCUGACAUUCUGUGGUUGCUGCUUUCUAGAUAAGAAAUAUAUAUAUAUAUAUAUAUAUAUAUAUAUAUAUACAUAUAUAUGUGUGUGUAUGUAUAUAUGUGUAUAUGUAAAUAUAUAUACAUAUAUAUAAUCAUCUAUGAUAAACUUUACUUAAAAGUUGCCAUAAAGAAAGCUGUUUACUGAAAUCCUAAUUUUUAUAGCUUCUGUAUAAUGAUAACAAGUUCCAAGAUCAGUUAGACCAAGGUACAAUGUGAGGUAGUACACUAACAGUAACUCUGAAAAGAAAACUAUACAAAUAUGCAAUUAUAAACCAUUAAAUAAACUGAAAGUGAAAGUCCUUGAUAUGAAAACAGAA
Cricetulus griseus (Chinese hamster) is the source of this 1757-nucleotide non-coding RNA. The record is from RefSeq and is a predicted model, not a curated record. Lineage: Eukaryota; Metazoa; Chordata; Mammalia; Rodentia; Cricetidae.